This 336-nucleotide unclassified non-coding RNA is filed under the name soil metagenome. RNAcentral's name for it is "partial contains 5.8S ribosomal RNA, internal transcribed spacer 2, and large subunit ribosomal RNA". The stretch from base 1 to 120 matches the Rfam family "5.8S ribosomal RNA", at positions 35 to 154 of the family's 154-position model. The record is from RNAcentral.
GAUGAAGAACGCAGCGAAAUGCGAUAAGUAGUGUGAAUUGCAGAAUUCAGUGAAUCAUCGAAUCUUUGAACGCACAUUGCGCCCUUUGGUAUUCCUUAGGGCAUGCCUGUUCGAGCGUCAUUUCAAACUUCAAGCCCCCCUCAUGGCUUGGUGUUGGGCGUCUGUCCUCCCGGGACUCGCCUCAAAUGCAUUGGCAGCCCGCCGUCCCGUGUGGGAGCGCAGCACAUUUUGCGCUCUCCGCUGCUGACGGUGGCAUCCACAAGUCUACCAUUUUACGCUUGACCUCGGAUCAGGUAGGGAUACCCGCUGAACUUAAGCAUAUCAAUAAGCGGAGGA